CAAUAGCGUAUAUUUAAGUUGCUGCAGUUAAAAAGCUCGUAGUUGGAUUUCGGGUGGGAAUGGCCGGUCCGCCGUUUCGGUGUGCACUUGCUACGCCCACCUUGCUGCCGGGGACGUGCUCUUGAGUUCACGCUCGGGACACGGAGUCGGCGAGGUUACUUUGAGUAAAUUAGAGUGUUCAAAGCAGGCCUACGCUCUGAAUACAUUAGUAUGGAAUAACACGAUAGGACUCUGGCCUAUCUUGUUGGUCUGUAGGACCGGAGUAAUGAUUAAGAGGGACAGUCGGGGGCAUUCGUAUUUCAUUGUCAGAGGUGAAAUUCUUGGAUUUAUGAAAGACGAACUACUGCGAAAGCAUUUGCCAAGGAUGUUUUCAUUAA
This 377-nucleotide ribosomal RNA is filed under the name uncultured eukaryote. RNAcentral describes it as "partial 18S ribosomal RNA". It matches the Rfam family "Eukaryotic small subunit ribosomal RNA", at positions 592 to 976 of the family's 1831-position model. The record is from RNAcentral.